This 25-nucleotide ribosomal RNA is filed under the name Colletotrichum gloeosporioides. RNAcentral describes it as "partial 18S ribosomal RNA". Lineage: Eukaryota; Fungi; Ascomycota; Sordariomycetes; Glomerellales; Glomerellaceae. The record is from RNAcentral.
CUUUUGGGGGACGCGGAGGACAUUA